This 980-nucleotide ribosomal RNA is filed under the name Bacillus velezensis. RNAcentral's name for it is "bacterial SSU rRNA". It matches the Rfam family "Bacterial small subunit ribosomal RNA", at positions 34 to 1003 of the family's 1533-position model. The record is from RNAcentral. Lineage: Bacteria; Bacillati; Bacillota; Bacilli; Caryophanales; Bacillaceae.
CAAUGGCGCAAUGCUAUACAUGCAGUCGAGCGGAGAUGGGAGCUUGCUCCCUGAUGUUAGCGGCGGACGGGUGAGUAACACGUGGGUAACCUGCCUGUAAGACUGGGAUAACUCCGGGAAACCGGGGCUAAUACCGGAUGGUUGUUUGAACCGCAUGGUUCAGACAUAAAAGGUGGCUUCGGCUACCACUUACAGAUGGACCCGCGGCGCAUUAGCUAGUUGGUGAGGUAACGGCUCACCAAGGCGACGAUGCGUAGCCGACCUGAGAGGGUGAUCGGCCACACUGGGACUGAGACACGGCCCAGACUCCUACGGGAGGCAGCAGUAGGGAAUCUUCCGCAAUGGACGAAAGUCUGACGGAGCAACGCCGCGUGAGUGAUGAAGGUUUUCGGAUCGUAAAGCUCUGUUGUUAGGGAAGAACAAGUGCCGUUCAAAUAGGGCGGCACCUUGACGGUACCUAACCAGAAAGCCACGGCUAACUACGUGCCAGCAGCCGCGGUAAUACGUAGGUGGCAAGCGUUGUCCGGAAUUAUUGGGCGUAAAGGGCUCGCAGGCGGUUUCUUAAGUCUGAUGUGAAAGCCCCCGGCUCAACCGGGGAGGGUCAUUGGAAACUGGGGAACUUGAGUGCAGAAGAGGAGAGUGGAAUUCCACGUGUAGCGGUGAAAUGCGUAGAGAUGUGGAGGAACACCAGUGGCGAAGGCGACUCUCUGGUCUGUAACUGACGCUGAGGAGCGAAAGCGUGGGGAGCGAACAGGAUUAGAUACCCUGGUAGUCCACGCCGUAACGAUGAGUGCUAAGUGUUAGGGGGUUUCCGCCCCUUAGUGCUGCAGCUAACGCAUUAAGCACUCCGCCUGGGGAGUACGGUCGCAAGACUGAAACUCAAAGGAAUUGACGGGGGCCCGCACAAGCGGUGGAGCAUGUGGUUUAAUUCGAAGCAACGCGAGAACCUUACCAGUCUUGACAUCCUCUGACAAUCCUAG